AGGAUAGAACGCUAGGCGGGAGGCUUAACACAUGCAAGUCGGAGGGGCAGCAGUAGGGUAGCAAUACUCUGAUGGCGACCGGGCAAACGGGUGAGUAACGCGUAUGCAACCUACCCUGUACAGGGGGAUAACCCGGAGAAAUUCGGACUAAUAUCCCGUAAUAAUAUCCGGAGGCAUCUUUGGAUAUUUAAAGUUCCGACGGUACGGGAUGGGCAUGCGUAACAUUAGCUGGUUGGUAAGGUAACGGCUUACCAAGGCUAUGAUGUUUAGGGGUCCUGAGAGGGUGGUCCCCCACACUGGUACUGAGACACGGACCAGACUCCUACGGGAGGCAGCAGUGAGGAAUAUUGGUCAAUGGGCGCAAGCCUGAACCAGCCAUCCCGCGUGCAGGAAGACGGCCCUAUGGGUUGUAAACUGCUUUUCCAGGGAGAGAAACUUACGCACGUGUUGCGUGACUGACGGUACCCUGGGAAUAAGCAUCGGCUAACUCCGUG
RNAcentral lists this ribosomal RNA (494 nucleotides) under uncultured bacterium. Its description in RNAcentral is "bacterial SSU rRNA". It matches the Rfam family "Bacterial small subunit ribosomal RNA", at positions 31 to 507 of the family's 1533-position model. The record is from RNAcentral.